GUCAGAAUAUAGACACAACCAGCAAAGACAGCCAUACCUCCAAACACAGUCAACAAGGAAUCACACAGUGGAAAGGAUGUGGCCAGAAAUUAACAACAGAGUGAAUUAUCCACUAAAGGAGGCCCUCAUCCAGCUACAAGAUCAGGAAGCAAUAGAUAUGGAGGACAGUCUGACAAGGUUCUGCACAUCUAAUCUGACCUGCCAGAUGGGCCAAAUUGGCAUAAACAGAUUUGUGCAAUCAUGGAAUGCUCACAGAAUUCCAGAAAGAGGGAUACCAAAUCACCUAGCAGGGACUGGAACACCAAGAAAAAUCACAACCGAUCUUCUACCAGAUGACACAGUUGCAGCUGACAUGUAUGACAGGGACAUGGGAUCCUCCCUCACCAGAGUAUCUUCAUUCGGAAGUGAUCCCUUUCUGUCUGAGGCUGACAAAGUGAGAGCAGAGCAGCACUUUGCACGUUA
Long non-coding RNA from Carassius auratus (goldfish), 462 nucleotides. RefSeq lists it as uncharacterized. The record is from RefSeq and is a predicted model, not a curated record. The transcript has 3 exons. Lineage: Eukaryota; Metazoa; Chordata; Actinopteri; Cypriniformes; Cyprinidae.